GAAACUCAAAGGAAUUGACGGGGCCCGCACAAGCGGCGGAGCAUGUGGAUUAAUUCGAUGCAACGCGAAGAACCUUACCUGGGCUUGACAUACACCAGAUCGGCGCAGAGAUGCGUUUUCCCCUUGUGGUUGGUGUACAGGUGGUGCAUGGUUGUCGUCAGCUCGUGUCGUGAGAUGUUGGGUUAAGUCCCGCAACGAGCGCAACCCUUGUCUUAUGUUGCCAGCACGUGAUGGUGGGGACUCAUGAGAGACUGCCGGGGUUAACUCGGAGGAAGGUGGGGAUGACGUCAAAUCAUCAUGCCCCUUAUGUCCAGGGCUUCACACAUGCUACAAUGGUCGGUACAACGCGUGUGCGACACUGUGAGGUGAAGCUAAUCGCUCUAAAGCCGGUCGUAGUUCGGAUUGGGGUCUGCAACUCGACCCCAUGAAGUCGGAGUCGCUAGUAAUCGCAGAUCAGCAACGCUGCGGUGAAUACGUUCCCGGGCCUU
Molecule: ribosomal RNA, 488 nt
Filed under: uncultured Corynebacterium sp.
Lineage: Bacteria; Bacillati; Actinomycetota; Actinomycetes; Mycobacteriales; Corynebacteriaceae
Description: bacterial SSU rRNA
Rfam family: Bacterial small subunit ribosomal RNA
Source: RNAcentral